Molecule: transfer RNA, 72 nt
Organism: Toxocara canis (dog roundworm)
Lineage: Eukaryota; Metazoa; Nematoda; Chromadorea; Rhabditida; Toxocaridae
Rfam family: tRNA
About the family: Transfer RNA (tRNA) molecules are approximately 80 nucleotides in length. Their secondary structure includes four short double-helical elements and three loops (D, anti-codon, and T loops).
Source: Rfam
GUGGCAGUAGCUCAAUGGUAGAGCUCCCAGUUCGUACGCGGGAAGACCCGGGUCCGAUUCCCGGGUGCUUUC